GUUGAACGCUGGCGGCAUGCUUUACACAUGCAAGUCGAACGGUAACAGGUUAAGCUGACGAGUGGCGAACGGGUGAGUAAUGCCUAGGAAUCUGCCCGAUAGUGGGGGACAACGUUUCGAAAGGAACGCUAAUACCGCAUACGUCCUACGGGAGAAAGUGGGGGCUCUUCGGACCUCACGCUAUCGGAUGAGCCUAGGUCGGAUUAGCUAGUUGGUGGGGUAAAGGCUCACCAAGGCGACGAUCCGUAACUGGUCUGAGAGGAUGAUCAGUCACACUGGAACUGAGACACGGUCCAGACUCCUACGGGAGGCAACAGUGGGGAAUAUUGGACAAUGGGCGAAAGCCUGAUCCAGCCAUGCCGCGUGUGUGAAGAAGGUCUUCGGAUUGUAAAGCACUUUAAGUCGGGAGGAAGGGCUGUAGGUUAAUACCUUGCAGCCUUGACGUUACCGACAGAAUAAGCACCGGCUAACUUCGUGCCAGCCGCCGCCGUAA
This 493-nucleotide ribosomal RNA is filed under the name uncultured bacterium. RNAcentral's name for it is "partial 16S ribosomal RNA". It matches the Rfam family "Bacterial small subunit ribosomal RNA", at positions 28 to 523 of the family's 1533-position model. The record is from RNAcentral.